Non-coding RNA from Paramuricea clavata, 96 nucleotides. The record is from the annotation of a GenBank genome assembly. Lineage: Eukaryota; Metazoa; Cnidaria; Anthozoa; Malacalcyonacea; Plexauridae.
UGAUGAUGAUGAUGAUGAUCAUGAUGAUCAUGAUGAUCAUGAUGAUGAUGAUGAUGAUGAUCAUGAUCAUGAUCAUCAUCAUGAUCAUCAUCAUGA